CCGUGGUAUGCGCCGCCUACUCUGACAUCCAGGUCGAGAGAUACUCGACCCAACACCUCAACAGAGCAUCGGAUGACUGGCAGCUGUGUCCGCCCGGACACGUGCUGACUGCGGUGACAGCCACCAACUCGUUCAUCGCGGAGGUGGUCAGCAUGACCUGUGGCCUCAUCAGCAGCGAGUCCGGCAGAUUCAGUGGCGCCUGCAGCGACACCAGUGUACCAGAUACGGUCGGCUCUGACUACUCGAUCGUCUGCAUCAAUGACCAUCCGGUGGCCAACCUGCUGGUGGGCUUCAUCUACAAUGAGCACCGCACGCCUCGCUGGCGAGGAGUCCGCUGCUGCACUUUCGCGCGACCGGGGCAGUAGGCGGUCCGAUCUGCUGCCCUUCCCACGGCUGGAGGAGUCAGAGUCCGGUCUAGAGCUGGGGAUUGGCGUGCACUUUCGAAUUCGAAUCUUUGGGUGGGCGGAUUGGGAUCCGAAUUUAGAACAUGACGCCGCUCAAAUAGACGCGGAUAUUUGUGGCAAAAUCUCAGACUUUUGAUGUCGGGUCGUUCCCACUUGGAAACCGUUUUUCAAGUUUCCGGCUGACUGUCCUCAACGCUUCUGUGAUUGGUGCACUUCUGGAUUGGCCAAAAAAGUUUUGGAGCGGGUGUAUAUGCAACAAAAGACAAAGCUAGCGACAGAUUUCAACGCAUCACCAACACAUUCGACGACAUUUAUUUUAGUUGAAGGAUGCU
Pollicipes pollicipes is the source of this 736-nucleotide long non-coding RNA. RefSeq lists it as uncharacterized. The record is from RefSeq and is a predicted model, not a curated record. Lineage: Eukaryota; Metazoa; Arthropoda; Thecostraca; Pollicipedomorpha; Pollicipedidae. The transcript has 3 exons.